CCUACGGGAGGCAGCAGUGGGGAAUAUUGGACAAUGGGGGCAACCCUGAUCCAGCCAUGCCGCGUGUGUGAAGAAGGCCCUCGGGUUGUAAAGCACUUUCAGUGAGGAAGAACGCCUGGUGGUUAAUACCCAUCAGGAAAGACAUCACUCACAGAAGAAGCACCGGCUAACUCCGUGCCAGCAGCCGCGGUAAUACGGAGGGUGCGAGCGUUAAUCGGAAUUACUGGGCGUAAAGCGCGCGUAGGUGGCUUGAUAAGCCGGUUGUGAAAGCCCCGGGCUCAACCUGGGAACGGCAUCCGGAACUGUCAAGCUAGAGUGCAGGAGAGGAAUGUAGAAUUCCCGGUGUAGCGGUGAAAUGCGUAGAGAUCGGGAGGAAUACCAGUGGCGAAGGCGGCCUUCUGGACUGACACUGACACUGAGGUGCGAAAGCGUGGGUAGCAAACAGGAUUAUAUACCCGAGUAGUC
RNAcentral lists this ribosomal RNA (465 nucleotides) under Vreelandella stevensii. RNAcentral describes it as "partial 16S ribosomal RNA". It matches the Rfam family "Bacterial small subunit ribosomal RNA", at positions 338 to 795 of the family's 1533-position model. Lineage: Bacteria; Pseudomonadati; Pseudomonadota; Gammaproteobacteria; Oceanospirillales; Halomonadaceae. The record is from RNAcentral.